AAGAAUAGAGGUUGACCAUCAGGGAUUUUAUUUUCCAUACUUGAAGACUUAAGUUACUUCUACCAAACAGAGAGAAGUGGUCAUAAUAGAUAAAGAUGGAUAACUGGUCGCAGGUAUAUUUAUUCUAGGGUCUAAAGGUUGUUCAGUCUGCUGUAGCAGUGAGUACCUGGGGAGAUGUCAAUUUCUCAGAUUAGAGGAGUUCCAUAUAAUUGGAUCCUGAAAAUUGGUUUUAGAGAUUUAGAAAUAUAUAAAGGAGUCAUUUUAAUUUUGAUAUUCUUGCACAGACUAUGAGUCAGAAAUCCUCAAGUUAAAUCUGCCAGAGUUCUUUGGUUAUUAAAUUUCAUGUUUUGGAGAAUAAGAUAUGUGUCACCUAUUCAUGGUAAUGAGGAGAGAAGAAGAAGGAAUUUCCACAGAGACUUCAUGUGUGCUCAAACAGCAGACUCUAUCUUGGUGCCAGGAGAAAAUGAAAUGUUAUUCACGCCUCUCCUGCCGGAACUCACCAAUGGACGCAACUUCUUCCCAGUACACUGUGAAAGCAUUCAAACGCCACGCUGAUUGUUCCCCCUGUGGUCACAACAGAAACUUGUUUGUUUUCUCUCAAAUUUAUUUGGAAAGGAUGUUGUUACAGCAAUGCUGUUUGAAUUAUUAUAGCUAACCUUUUCCAGUGUACAUGUCCAGAGGCAUAAUUGGAUUCCCAAAAUGAACUCCAUUGACAACAGCUACAGAAGGAUGCUUCAGCUUGUUUAUUCUUAAAAUUAAUGUUGCUUUCAUCCCUUCUCUCCCCAUGCUUCUCUCUGUCUCUCUCUCUCUCUCUGGCUUGCUCACUUGCUCCCUCAAAAAUCCACUAAGUAAGUAAGACUUAGUGAAUAGCAGAACUCUUAAUUAUUUGCAAAAAAUAAUAGCUUCAGCAGUCGAGAUGUGGUGACGAAACCGACCCCAGUCCCUGCCCUUCCCUUGUCACACUGCGUUUACCUGAGCCAUGUGUUUAGUCGGGCAGCAGAAUCCCUAUAUUUCUCACUGUUGUAUGGUCACUAUCCCUUGUGACCUCUCAGAUAAAAUUUAGUGGCAUCAAGCUCUGGUAGCCACUUCUGCUCCUGGAGCAUCGUUAUUCUUACAAAUUGUACAUCAUUAUACUUUUAUGGGAAGGCUAUUAUACCUUGUAAAUAGUACAAGCCCAGCAGCUGGCCCAGCAGGCUGCACGGGGGCAUUGCCAGCUGCCUGGACAGGAGGCUCAAGAGAAAACCAGCCCUCUGCCCUGAAGUGCGCAUACCUGGUAGCGGAAGGACAGGUGCUGAUCACUUUGGGAGGUUGAGUACUUGGGGUGGAGAAAGCCCUCGUUUGGAAAGCCCAUGGGUACAGAUUACCUUCCAACUCUGCCACUGAUGAGCUUGAGCACAUUCCUUGACCUCAGCACAUUAACUUCUUGAGCUUUAAAAGGGAGAUGAUAUUCCAGCCUCACUGGGAUGGGAAAUGUUGUAGCCAUUUUGGAAAACCAGUCUGGCAGCAUCUAUUGAAAUUAAAAAUCUGUGCAUUCUUAAAACCAGAAACCUCACUUUUGGAAUCUAUCCCAUAGAAAUAAAAGCUCCAGUGCACAAGGCUGUGUGUGCUCG
Molecule: long non-coding RNA, 1610 nt
Organism: Vulpes vulpes (red fox)
Lineage: Eukaryota; Metazoa; Chordata; Mammalia; Carnivora; Canidae
Source: Ensembl